UUCUUCGGGAGCAGAGACCGGCGCACGGGUGCGUAACGCGUAUGCAAUCUACCUUUUACAGAGGGAUAGCCCAGAGAAAUUUGGAUUAAUACCUCAUAGUAUAAUAGCUCGGCAUCGAGCAAUUAUUAAAGUCACAACGGUAAAAGAUGAGCAUGCGUCCCAUUAGCUAGUUGGUAAGGUAACGGCUUACCAAGGCUACGAUGGGUAGGGGUCCUGAGAGGGAGAUCCCCCACACUGGUACUGAGACACGGACCAGACUCCUACGGGAGGCAGCAGUGAGGAAUAUUGGACAAUGGGCGCAAGCCUGAUCCAGCCAUGCCGCGUGCAGGAUGACGGUCCUAUGGAUUGUAAACUGCUUUUGUACAGGAAGAAACAGUUCUACGUGUAGAACCUUGACGGUACUGUAAGAAUAAGGAUCGGCUAACUCCGUGCCAGCAGCCGCGGUAAUACGGAGGAUCCAAGCGUUAUCCGGAAUCAUUGGGUUUAAAGGGUCCGUAGGCGGUUUAAUAAGUCAGUGGUGAAAGCCCAUCGCUCAACGGUGGAACGGCCAUUGAUACUGUUAAACUUGAAUUAUUAGGAAGUAACUAGAAUAUGUAGUGUAGCGGUGAAAUGCUUAGAGAUUACAUGGAAUACCAAUUGCGAAGGCAGGUUACUACUAAUUGAUUGACGCUGAUGGACG
RNAcentral lists this ribosomal RNA (679 nucleotides) under Flavobacterium sp. Its description in RNAcentral is "bacterial SSU rRNA". It matches the Rfam family "Bacterial small subunit ribosomal RNA", at positions 76 to 755 of the family's 1533-position model. Lineage: Bacteria; Pseudomonadati; Bacteroidota; Flavobacteriia; Flavobacteriales; Flavobacteriaceae. The record is from RNAcentral.